Molecule: transfer RNA, 77 nt
Filed under: Bidens biternata
Lineage: Eukaryota; Viridiplantae; Streptophyta; Magnoliopsida; Asterales; Asteraceae
Also listed under: 3 other names
Description: tRNA-Ile
Source: RNAcentral
ACACUAUGGGAGCUGGCCAUGCCCGAAGUCGUUACCUUAACCCCUAACAACGCAUCUUCACAGACCAAGAACUACGA